GUCGAGCGAUGAAGCUUCCUUCGGGAAGUGGAUUAGCGGCGGACGGGUGAGUAACACGUGGGUAACCUGCCUCAAAGUGGGGGAUAGCCUUCCGAAAGGAAGAUUAAUACCGCAUAAUAUGAGAGAAUCGCAUGAUUUUCUUAUCAAAGAUUUAUUGCUUUGAGAUGGACCCGCGGCGCAUUAGCUAGUUGGUAAGGUAACGGCUUACCAAGGCAACGAUGCGUAGCCGACCUGAGAGGGUGAUCGGCCACAUUGGAACUGAGACACGGUCCAGACUCCUACGGGAGGCAGCAGUGGGGAAUAUUGCGCAAUGGGGGAAACCCUGACGCAGCAACGCCGCGUGGGUGAUGAAGGUCUUCGGAUUGUAAAGCCCUGUUUUCUGGGACGAUAAUGACGGUACCAGAGGAGGAAGCCACGGCUAACUACGUGCCAGCAGCCGCGGUAAUACGUAGGUGGCGAGCGUUGUCCGGAUUUACUGGGCGUAAAGGGUGCGUAGGCGGAUGUUUAAGUGGGAUGUGAAAUCCCCGGGCUUAACCUGGGGGCUGCAUUCCAAACUGGAUAUCUAGAGUGCAGGAGAGGAAAGCGGAAUUCCUAGUGUAGCGGUGAAAUGCGUAGAGAUUAGGAAGAACACCAGUGGCGAAGGCGGCUUUCUGGACUGUAACUGACGCUGAGGCACGAAAGCGUGGGUAGCAAACAGGAUUAGAUACCCUGGUAGUCCACGCCGUAAACGAUGGAUACUAGGUGUAGGGGGUAUCAACUCCCCCUGUGCCGCAGUUAACACAAUAAGUAUCCCGCCUGGGGAGUACGGUCGCAAGAUUAAAACUCAAAGGAAUUGACGGGGGGCCCGCACAAGCAGCGGAGCAUGUGGUUUAAUUCGAAGCAGCGCGAAGAGCCUUACCUGGACUUGACAUCCCUUGCAUAGCCUAGAGAUAGGUGAAGCCCUUCGGGCAAGGAGACAGGUGGUGCAUGGCUGUCGUCAGCUCGUGUCGUGAGAUGUUAGGUUAAGUCUGCACGAGCGCAACCCUUGAUAUUASCUGCUACC
This 1042-nucleotide ribosomal RNA is filed under the name Salmonella enterica subsp. enterica serovar Enteritidis. Its description in RNAcentral is "bacterial SSU rRNA". It matches the Rfam family "Bacterial small subunit ribosomal RNA", at positions 61 to 1122 of the family's 1533-position model. The record is from RNAcentral. Lineage: Bacteria; Pseudomonadati; Pseudomonadota; Gammaproteobacteria; Enterobacterales; Enterobacteriaceae.